GACGAACGCUGGCGACGUGCUUAACACAUGCAAGUCGAACGUGAUUUUUGUGGAAAUUCUUUCGGGAAUGGAAAUGAAAUGAAAGUGGCGAACGGGUGAGUAACACGUGAGCAACCUACCUUACACAGGGGGAUAGCCGUUGGAAACGACGAUUAAUACCGCAUGAGACCACAGAAUCGCAUGAUAUAGGGGUCAAAGAUUUAUCGGUGUAAGAAGGGCUCGCGUCUGAUUAGCUAGUUGGAAGGGUAAAGGCCUACCAAGGCGACGAUCAGUAGCCGGUCUGAGAGGAUGAACGGCCACAUUGGAACUGAGACACGGUCCAAACUCCUACGGGAGGCAGCAGUGGGGAAUAUUGCACAAAUGGGGGGAAACCCCUGAUGCAGCGACGCCGCGU
This 394-nucleotide ribosomal RNA is filed under the name Parvimonas micra. Its description in RNAcentral is "bacterial SSU rRNA". It matches the Rfam family "Bacterial small subunit ribosomal RNA", at positions 28 to 402 of the family's 1533-position model. Lineage: Bacteria; Bacillati; Bacillota; Tissierellia; Tissierellales; Peptoniphilaceae. The record is from RNAcentral.